UUCCAGCUCCAAUAAGGAAAACUAAAGUUGCUGUGUUUAAAAAGCUCGUAGUUGAAUUUCGGGUAUUUGUUGCUAGCUGGUCUAACUGGCCAUGUUGGUUAACAGAUCCUCAUUUGCUGGACGGCUGGCGAUGAUCUUUAUCGGUUGUCGUCAGUUGCCAGAACGUUUACUUUGAGAAAAUUAGAGUGCUUAAAGCAGGCUUUCGCCUAUAUAUAUUGCAUGGAAUAAUGAAAUAAGAUCUCGAUUUUAUUUCGUUGGUUUUAGAAAUUGAGAUAAUGAUUAAUAGGAUCAGAGGGGGGCGUACGUACUGUGGUGUGAGAGGUGAAAUUCUUGGAUCGCCACAGGACGAACAGCAGCGAAGGCGUUCGCCAAGAAUGUUUUCAUUAAUCAAGAACGAAAGUUUGAGGUUCGAAGACGAUUAGAUACCGUCCUAGUUCAAACCAUAAACGAUGCCAACUGUCUUUUAGAUGCGGUUAUUUAUAUGACUCAUCUGGCGGAUCUCGAGAAAUCUAAGUUUUUAGGUUCCGGGGGAAGUAUGGUUGCAAAGCUGAAACUUAAAAGAAUUGACGGAAGGACACACAAGAAGUGGAGCCUGUGGCCUAAUUUGACUCAACACGGGAAACCUUACUCGGCCAGGACACUUUUAGGAUUGACAGAUUGAGAGCUCUUUCUUGAUUAGGUGGGUGGUGGUGCAUGGUCGUUCGUAGUUCGUGGAGCGAUUUGUCUGAUUAAUUUCGAUAACGAACGAGACUCCGGCUUACUAAAUAGUCUAAAGUUCGCAGGGACUUCUCAAGACUUCUUAGCAGGAUAAGUGGCACUUUUUAAGCCACACGAAAUGGAGCAAUAA
This 847-nucleotide ribosomal RNA is filed under the name uncultured metazoan. RNAcentral describes it as "SSU rRNA". It matches the Rfam family "Eukaryotic small subunit ribosomal RNA", at positions 583 to 1456 of the family's 1831-position model. The record is from RNAcentral. Lineage: Eukaryota; Metazoa.